This 497-nucleotide ribosomal RNA is filed under the name uncultured bacterium. Its description in RNAcentral is "partial 16S ribosomal RNA". It matches the Rfam family "Bacterial small subunit ribosomal RNA", at positions 28 to 507 of the family's 1533-position model. The record is from RNAcentral.
GAUGAACGCUGGCGGCGUGCCUAAUACAUGCAAGUCGAGCGAACGGACGAGAAGCUUGCUUUUCUGAUGUUAGCGGCGGACGGGUGAGUAACACGUGGAUAACCUACCUAUAAGACUGGGAUAACUUCGGGAAACCGGAGCUAAUACCGGAUAAUAUUUUGAACCGCAUGGUUCAAAAGUGAAAGACGGUCUUGCUGUCACUUAUAGAUGGAUCCGCGCUGCAUUAGCUAGUCGGUAAGAUAACGGCUUACCAAGGCAACGAUGCAUAGCCGACCUGAGAGGGUGAUCGGCCACACUGGAACUGAGACACGGUCCAGACUCCUACGGGAGGCAGCAGUAGGGAAUCUUCCGCAAUGGGCGAAAGCCUGACGGAGCAACGCCGCGUGAGUGAUGAAGGUCUUCGGAUCGUAAAACUCUGUUAUUAGGGAAGAACAUAUGUGUAAGUAACUGUGCACAUCUUGACGGUACCUAAUCAGAAAGCCACGGCUAACUACGUG